Molecule: ribosomal RNA, 253 nt
Filed under: uncultured bacterium
Lineage: Bacteria
Description: partial 16S ribosomal RNA
Rfam family: Bacterial small subunit ribosomal RNA
Source: RNAcentral
UACGUAGGGGGCAAGCGUUGUCCGGAUUUAUUGGGCGUAAAGAGCUCGUAGGCGGUCUGUCGCGUCGGCUGUGAAAUCCCGAGGCUCAACCUCGGGUCUGCAGUCGAUACGGGCAGACUAGAGUAUUGCAGGGGAGACUGGAAUUCCUGGUGUAGCGGUGAAAUGCGCAGAUAUCAGGAAGAACACCGGUGGCGAAGGCGGGUCUCUGGGCAAUAACUGACGCUGAGGAGCGAAAGCGUGGGGAGCGAACAGG